Molecule: ribosomal RNA, 329 nt
Filed under: uncultured eukaryote
Lineage: Eukaryota
Description: partial 18S ribosomal RNA
Rfam family: Eukaryotic small subunit ribosomal RNA
Source: RNAcentral
CCCUUAGAUGUUCUGGGCCGCACGCGCGCUACACUGAUGCAUUCAACGAGUCUAAAACCUGGUCUGAGAGGGCUGGGUAAUCUUUUGAAAGUGCAUCGUGAUUGGGAUAGAUGACUGCAAUUCUUCAUCUUCAACGAGGAAUGCCUAGUAAACGCAAGUCAUCAGCUUGCAUUGAUUACGUCCCUGCCCUUUGUACACACCGCCCGUCGCUCCUACCGAUUGAACGAUCCGAUGAAAACUGUGGAUUGAGAGUCUGAGUGGGUUCGCCUACCUCAACUUUCGAGAAGCGGUUUAAAUCUUAUCGUUUAGAGGAAGGAGAAGUCGUAACA